Molecule: ribosomal RNA, 804 nt
Filed under: Triticum aestivum (bread wheat)
Lineage: Eukaryota; Viridiplantae; Streptophyta; Magnoliopsida; Poales; Poaceae
Description: partial small subunit ribosomal RNA
Source: RNAcentral
AUGGCAGAAAUGAACAUUGAUCUGGGAGGAUUGGCAGGCAGGCCUACUACUUCACAGGCGGAUCCUUUUCAAAGUGCUUUGUAUGGAGCUGGACCUGGACUCAUCCGAAGUGGACUAGGAGCGUACAGUGAGAAGUUUUUAGGUUCAAGCUCUGACUUUAUGCAAAGCAAUAUCACUCAAUAUUUGUCCAAUCCACAAUAUUACUUUCAAGUGAACAAUCAGUAUGUGAGGAACAAGCUGAAGGUUGUCUUGUUUCCUUUUCUGCAUCGGGGACACUGGACUAGGAUAACUGAGCCAGUGGGAGGAAGGCUGUCGUACAAACCUCCAGUUCAAGACAUCAAUGCUCCAGAUCUGUACAUCCCUCUCAUGGCUUUUGCCACCUACAUUGUAGUUGCUGGAUAUGCCUUGGGUGUUCUUGGAAGGUUUACCCCGGUGGCACUGACUAUACAGUUCACAAAAGGGUUACUCGGUUGGUUUAUGCAAGUCAUCCUCAUUAAAGCUCUACUUUACUCACUUGGAAGUGGUGAAUCGCCGUUGCUUGACAUUGUGGCAUAUGCUGGCUAUGGGUUUGCCGGUACCUCACUUGCGAUGCUUGUCCGCAUCUUCUGGAGCUACUCAUACUAUUUUGUGCUGCCGUGGUUCUGUAUCUGCACUGGAGUGUUCCUGGUUAAGACGAUGAAGAGGGUUCUGCAGGGUGUAUCGAGGACUUAUGAGAGGCAUCCUAGCAGGAACCACUACUUUCUUCUAUUCCUCGUGGCUGCGCAGUUCCCCAUGCUUUUUUGGCUAGGCAACAUCAAGGGCUGA